GUUACAUAAUCUUGUUGGUUUGUAUAGCUUAUUUGGCCAUAAAUUCUUCUGGACUGAGCAUGCUUGCUUGAUACCAAGAGAAAUUUCUAAAACCUUAUUAAUAUCCACCGUGUACCAGAUAUUAUUAGUUACACACCACUAAGUUGUUUACCGCACUAAUAGGAUUUGAAUAUGGGUAUAUUUAUUUGUUCCUUUUAUUUUGCAGGAAAAGUUGAGGAUGUAAGCAA
This 227-nucleotide unclassified non-coding RNA is filed under the name Hevea brasiliensis (rubber tree). The record is from RNAcentral. Lineage: Eukaryota; Viridiplantae; Streptophyta; Magnoliopsida; Malpighiales; Euphorbiaceae.